GACGUAGGAUGCAAGCGUUGUCCGGAAUUAUUGGGCGUAAAGCGUUCGUAGGCGGCCUGCCAAGUCUGAUGUUAAAUCCCGGGGCUCAACCCCGGACAAGCAUUGGAUACUGGGAAGCUAGAGUACGGUAGAGGUAAGGGGAAUUCCUAGUGUAGCGGUGAAAUGCGUAGAUAUUAGGAGUAACACCGGUGGCGAAAGCGCCUUACUGGACCGAAACUGACGCUGAGGGACGAAAGCCAGGGGAGGAAAUGGG
Molecule: ribosomal RNA, 253 nt
Filed under: uncultured bacterium
Lineage: Bacteria
Description: partial 16S ribosomal RNA
Rfam family: Bacterial small subunit ribosomal RNA
Source: RNAcentral